Molecule: ribosomal RNA, 253 nt
Filed under: uncultured bacterium
Lineage: Bacteria
Description: partial 16S ribosomal RNA
Rfam family: Bacterial small subunit ribosomal RNA
Source: RNAcentral
UACAGAGGUCUCAAGCGUUGUUCGGAUUCAUUGGGCGUAAAGGGUGCGUAGGUGGCGCCGUAAGUCAGGUGUGAAAUUUCGGAGCUUAACUCCGAAACUGCAUUUGAUACUGCGGUGCUUGAGGACUGGAGAGGAGACUGGAAUUUACGGUGUAGCAGUGAAAUGCGUAGAUAUCGUAAGGAAGACCAGUGGCGAAGGCGGGUCUCUGGACAGUUCCUGACGCUGAGGCACGAAGGUCAGGGGAGCAAACGGG